AAAAGCCCAACCGUUUUUAGACAUCUUGCUGUUAGGAUCCGUUAGAAAUAUAUAGUUAACUAUGAGUAAAAUAUUUAACCCAAGAUUUUAAGUGCCCGUCGGCACGGGUCGUAUCUACCGUAUCAUACCGUGUCAACAAGAUAUCCGCCGAUGGCACAGUUAAAAAUCCUCUAUUCUUUAAAUUUGUAAGUAAUUUUUUCAAUAAAGUCCAAAAGAUGUGAUAAAUAAACAUAAUAAAUAGUUAGAAUAUUUUGUUGCUAAAGAAAGUAAAUAUUCCAUACUAUUAUGUGUCACACAAGAAUUUUUUUGUUGGGCACGGCUACCGUGCCGGCAAGUUUCCGGCACGACCCCGUGCCACGGCAUUUAAAUCCUUGAUUUAACCCCGAUUAGUAAAUGAGUUAAAUUGAUCUUUUUAUCCUUGUUAUAUUAUUUGAUAAAAAAAAAUUUUGAGAGGAUAUUUCUACAAAAUUCUACCAGUUGGUGCUAUUAGAGGGAUACAUUUGUAAGGCAAAAAUGUCAUUUCGUAUAUCUGCUGUUAAAAGAUAAACAGUGCUCUAAGGUAUUAAACUAGAGGGGCAAAUAUAAAUAUCAUUGGACUUUUACAAGGAUAAAAAUAAAAAAUUGAAUGCUGCAGGAAUAUAUUUAUUAGUCAAUAUGUUUACAGUGAGCUGUGUGUAAUUAACCCUAAAAUUAAUG
RNAcentral lists this long non-coding RNA (696 nucleotides) under Ananas comosus (pineapple). Its description in RNAcentral is "long non-coding RNA (ACOM_LNC029364)". Lineage: Eukaryota; Viridiplantae; Streptophyta; Magnoliopsida; Poales; Bromeliaceae. The record is from RNAcentral.